Molecule: non-coding RNA, 26 nt
Filed under: Homo sapiens (human)
Lineage: Eukaryota; Metazoa; Chordata; Mammalia; Primates; Hominidae
Source: RNAcentral
UGAUGUAUAAUAAACAGCCGGUGGUU